This 465-nucleotide ribosomal RNA is filed under the name uncultured bacterium. RNAcentral's name for it is "partial 16S ribosomal RNA". It matches the Rfam family "Bacterial small subunit ribosomal RNA", at positions 338 to 795 of the family's 1533-position model. The record is from RNAcentral.
CCUACGGGGGGCAGCAGUGGGGAAUAUUGCGCAAUUGGCGAAAGCCUGACGCCGUGACGCCGCGUGAGGGAUGAAGGUCUUCGGAUCGUAAACCUCUGUCAGCAGGGAAGAACGGUCACUGUGCUAAUCAGCAGUGAAUUGACGGUACCUGCAAAGGAAGCACCGGCUAACUCCGUGCCAGCAGCCGCGGUAAUACGGAUGGUGCGAGCGUUAAUCGGAAUUACUGGGCGUAAAUCGCUCUUAGGCGGUAUGUCAAGUCAAGGGUGAAAUCCCCGCGCUCAACGUGGGAACGGCCUUUGAAACUGGCAAACUUGAGGGUGUGAGAGGAUAGUGGAAUUCCAGGUGUAGGAGUGAAAUCCGUAGAUAUCUGGAGGAACAUCAGUGGCGAAGGCGACUAUCUGGCACAUAACUGACGCUGAGGAGCGAAAGCGUGGGUAGCAAACAGGAUUAGAUACCCUGGUAGUC